UACGGAGGUGGCAGGCGUUACUCGGAUUGAUUGGGUGUAAAGGGUGUGUAGGCGGCGUACUAAGUCGAAUGUGAAAGCCCGUGGCUUAACCACGGAAUUGCAUUCGAAACUGGUAUGCUUGAGUGACUGAGAGGUAGAUGGAAUUCCCGGUGUAACAGUGAAAUGUGUAGAUAUCGGGAGGAACACCAGUGGCGAAGGCGAUCUACUGGCAGUCCACUGACGCUGAAACACGAGAGCUAGGGGAGCAAACAGGAUUAGAUACCCUGGUAGUCCUAGCCGUAAACGAUGUACACUAGGUGUCGGGCCCUCUGGGUUCGGUGCCGCCGUUAACACAUUAAGUGUACCACCUGGGGAGUACGGUCGCAAGACUGAA
This 373-nucleotide ribosomal RNA is filed under the name uncultured bacterium. RNAcentral's name for it is "bacterial SSU rRNA". It matches the Rfam family "Bacterial small subunit ribosomal RNA", at positions 524 to 898 of the family's 1533-position model. The record is from RNAcentral.